ACUCCUACGGGAGGGCAGUCAGUGGGGAAUUUUUCGCAAUGGACGCAAGUCUGACGAAGCAAUGCCGCGUGUAGGGAUGAAGGUUUUCGGAUUGUAAACCUACUGUUAUAAGGGAAGAAAACCUGAUAUAGGAAAUGAUAUCAGCUUGACGGUACCUUAUCAGAAAGGGACGGCUAACUACGUGCCAGCAGCCGCGGUAAUACGUAGGUCCCGAGCGUUAUCCGGAAUUAUUGGGCGUAAAGAGCAUGUAGGCGGUUUAUUAAGUCUGGUGUGAAAGCUAGUGGCUCAACCACUAAAUUGCAUUGGAUACUGGUAAAGCUAGAAUACUGGAGGGGCAAGUGGAAUUCCAUGUGUAGCGGUGGAAUGCGUAGAUAUAUGGAGGAACACCAAUGGCGAAGGCAGCUUGCUGGACAGUAAAUUGACGCUGAGAUGCGAAAGCGUGGGUAGCAAA
This 451-nucleotide ribosomal RNA is filed under the name uncultured bacterium. Its description in RNAcentral is "bacterial SSU rRNA". It matches the Rfam family "Bacterial small subunit ribosomal RNA", at positions 335 to 772 of the family's 1533-position model. The record is from RNAcentral.